RNAcentral lists this ribosomal RNA (420 nucleotides) under uncultured bacterium. RNAcentral's name for it is "bacterial SSU rRNA". It matches the Rfam family "Bacterial small subunit ribosomal RNA", at positions 355 to 776 of the family's 1533-position model. The record is from RNAcentral.
UUGGGAAUUUUGGGCAAUGGGCGAAAGCCUGACCCAGCGACGCCGCGUGUGGGAUGAAGGCCUUCGGGUCGUAAACCACUGUCAGGGGGGAAGAAGCCCGCACUCGUUGCGGGUGACGGUACCCUCAGAGGAAGCCCCGGCUAACUACGUGCCAGCAGCCGCGGUAAGACGUAGGGGGCGAGCGUUGUCCGGAUUUACUGGGCGUAAAGCGCGUGCAGGCGGCCUGUCAAGUCUCGUGUGAAAGCCUUCGGCUCAACCGGAGGAGGUCGCGGGAUACUGGCGGGCUUGAGGAUGGUAGAGGGUGGUAGAAUUCCCGGUGUAGCGGUGAAAUGCGUAGAUAUCGGGAGGAAUGCCAGUGGCGAAGGCGGCCACCUGGGCCAUCCCUGACGCUGAGACGCGAAAGCUGGGGGAGCGAACGGG